AUUGCUGUAAAAAUUACAGCAAUAUUUUACAGCAGCAGGCUGUUUUUCUAAUAAUACAGCAUAUUGCUGUAAACUGCAAUGCAUUCUGGGGUCGCGUGACGUUUGACGCAAAUGUACAGCAUAUUGCUGUAAAUUUAAAAUCUACAGAGGUGGGAUCUUCAACGGUUGAGAUUCGGGAGCGGCAAUAGGAAUGAUUCACAACUGUGCAUACUACAUAUUCACCCUGGAGUACCAGGAGACAGCCGGUAACUUGGACAUUCAAAGAUGCUUUGGUGGUAAUAAAUCCAGAGAGAGGAACAAAAAAGUUGAAAGGUUCGAAAAACAAAAGGGCAAAUGGUGCAGAAGAAACAGCUUGAAGUGAACCCACAUGUUGCCACUCUUCUUUGCAAAGUGAAGG
Long non-coding RNA from Sinocyclocheilus anshuiensis, 397 nucleotides. RefSeq lists it as uncharacterized. The transcript is spliced from 3 exons. The record is from RefSeq and is a predicted model, not a curated record. NCBI's taxonomy places the organism in Eukaryota, Metazoa, Chordata, Actinopteri, Cypriniformes, Cyprinidae.